This 71-nucleotide transfer RNA is filed under the name Marmota monax (woodchuck). RNAcentral's name for it is "tRNA.Thr". The record is from RNAcentral. Lineage: Eukaryota; Metazoa; Chordata; Mammalia; Rodentia; Sciuridae.
GAGGAUGCAGCUCAGUGGAAGAGCACCUGCCUAGUAAGUGUGAGGCCCUGGGUUUGAUCCCCAGCACUACA